UAUUGCACAAUGGUGGUAACCCUGAUGCAGCGACGCCGCGUGAAGGAAGAAGUAUCUCGUUAUGUAAACUUCUAUCAGCAGGGAAGUAAAUGACGGUACCUGUCUAAGAAGCCCCGGCUAACUACGUGCCAGCAGCCGCGGUAAUACGUAGGGGGCAAGCGUUAUCCGGAUUUACUGGGUGUAAAGGGAGCGUAGACGGAAGAGCAAGUCUAAUGUGAAAGGCUGGGGCUUAACCCCAGGACUGCAUUGGAAACUGUUGUUCUAGAGUGCCGGAGAGGUAAGCGGAAUUCCUAGUUUAGCGGUGAAAUGCGUAGAUAUUAGGAGGAACACCAGUGGCGAAGGCGGCUUACUGGACGGUAACUGACGUUGAGGCUCGAAAGCGUGGGGAGCAA
This 392-nucleotide ribosomal RNA is filed under the name uncultured bacterium. RNAcentral's name for it is "bacterial SSU rRNA". It matches the Rfam family "Bacterial small subunit ribosomal RNA", at positions 362 to 771 of the family's 1533-position model. The record is from RNAcentral.